This 2031-nucleotide long non-coding RNA is filed under the name Marmota monax (woodchuck). Lineage: Eukaryota; Metazoa; Chordata; Mammalia; Rodentia; Sciuridae. The record is from RNAcentral.
CCCAAGAGCAAGCAGCACAGCAUAGUGGUUAGAUGACAGCCUGCAUUCAACCCAGCUCUGCACAAGACUAACUGUCCAAACGGGCAGGACAGCAGUUCAUUUUGUGCCGCCAAUGUAUAAAACGAGAACCGUAGUUGCAAGUCGUGUGUUGGGCCCUGGAAGAGGUGACAUGAGGUGAAGCAUGCCAAGGGCUUGGAUAUGAGCCUGGAAUAUCACAAGCACCCUUAUCUUGGCCACUGUCACAAAGACAAAGACCUCGGGAGAAGGUGCAGUCUCGGGGGUGGGAGUGUCCUGGUUCUGUCCAAACGGGUUGAGUUUAAGUGGAGCCAGAGACCAAGUUCUAGGCUGGAGAUGUCAAUUUCAUUUUGGGGCCAUCGGCAGCGGAGCUGGUCACUGAAGCCAUGGGAAGUCAUGGAGGGAGCACAGGGAAAGUGAGAACAGAUCAGCACCACAGGACACAACCCGGGAGAAUGGCAACCAUUUUGAGGAAAAGAGACGAAGAGAAAACAGUGAGCAGGAGGAAGGCAGCCAGCAGUGCUACCAUCCAGCCGUGUGUGGAAGAGACAGUGACAACAGGAAGAAGGGGGACAGGAGUUAAUGGGGUGGCUCCGUUCUCCCUUCAUCACCCGCACUGGCCAGAGGCACAUGGCAUGGGGGCAAGAAGACUGGCUCUGUCCACGUGCUAAACAGCAAACACCAGACACCACGUCUGACCCUCUGUGCUGAUCCAGAAGCACACAGCAAUCCACCCCAGUGACUGGGAUCAACACGAUCCAGCUUGACCUGGCCACUCCAUUGACUGCCUGGUCUUUUCCCGACCACAAGAAACCACAGGACGAAUAUUCCUACUGAAUCCAAAUAGCUGCCACAAUGGAGCACAAGCCGUGUCCCCCACCUUCUCCUGCAGUAGAGCCUUUUGAGGUUCCUCAUCUCCUUGCAACAGCCCCAAAACCCUUUGAGUACGUGUAACUUUAAAUUUUCCUUUAUUGCUGAAGACUGAUUCUAGAAAGUUCUUCCACAGGUUUUGUUUAUUAGAUUCCCAAGGCCCAGCCCAAGUCCUCACCCCCAAGACCCUGAAGGCAAUGCCCACACACUGCAAGCUCAGGGAAGGUGUCUGCCAGAGGAUGCCAGGGUGAACACUCACAUUCAGCACAGAGAUAAGAAACUCCUUUAUAUUGUCUAAUAUAAGCAAGGGGGAGUAGUUACUUUUAUACCCAGGAUAAAGUCUCCUACUACAUAGUUUGACAACAAAGCAGAGUGCUUCUCUCUUGAAUCUACUACCCCUAAACUUUAUUUAAUGCUCAGUUUUCUUAGAAAAGUUCAGCAAUAAACUCACUGAAGCACUUUGCCCUAAGAGAAUCUGUGCUUUUGGAAUGACACAGUCAUAUCUUAUCCUAGGGGAAAAAUUAUUCUGGCAAAAUGAAACAUUUAGCCUAAGGGGAAGUGGCUCCACUUUUCAUGCCUCCUCCUACAGGGUUAAUUGGCUUGCUGAACUUCCACAAACCAAGAAGAAAAUACUAAAGAGUGCCCAACCCAUCCCAGAAAGGGGCAUCAAUAAAAGUCAGGAUCAAAACUGACUGGUCUGAAAGCUGGUAAAUACGAUCAAGUUAAUGAUUCCCCAUUUAUCGAUAGGUGACCCAUAAAAACAAAGUGUGUAUAAUUUUUUUUCAAUCUCUAUGAAAAAUAAGGACAUAUUAGCAUAAUGAUUUUGUUCUGCAGCAACACAAUGGCGAUUCACCCUUGUGGAAUAUCGGUGUUAAAAUUAGGAAAUGGUAGCACGUUCCAACACCGACACGAAUGCAAGCCCUAAAUAUAGAUGAUGUGCCAUCUGGAGGCCAAGAGCCUGCCUUGGCACAUUAACCAGAAGACCAACCCAGAGAAGGGAAAUAGCUUUUGAAAAACACAGAAAAGAGAUUCGCUUAGAAUUUUAUUUGAUAUAACAACAUCAAGUCACAGAAUGAGGAGUCAUCUGUUUCAUGGACUAUUUGUGACUCAGAUGUUAACUCUGCUACUGUCUUUAAAUACAUGGAG